This 222-nucleotide unclassified non-coding RNA is filed under the name Hevea brasiliensis (rubber tree). Lineage: Eukaryota; Viridiplantae; Streptophyta; Magnoliopsida; Malpighiales; Euphorbiaceae. The record is from RNAcentral.
GUCCCUUCUUAAAGGUGUGCUAGAUUACUCGGAGUUCAAGCAUGUUGAUAUGGUUAUAGAGGCUGUUAUCGAAAAGAUUCCAUUGAAACAGUCAAUAUUUGUUGACAUUGAAAAGGCUUGUCCCCCACACUGCAUUUUGGCAACCAACACAUCCACUAUCGAUCUAAAUAUUGUUGGAGAGAAGACGAAUUCUCAAGACCGUAUUGUGGGUGCACAUUUUUU